UUUGCCUCCAAUUAGUUCUCUUUUUUUUCAAUUGAAAGAACCUAGAUCUCAUCUCUCUACGGUCAAAAGUAACCUGGAACCCUUGAUUGUGAGACAAUGUGACCAUCGGUUUCUAAGGUUUUUGUAUUGAUUCUUGAAGGAGUCAUCGGAACUGGCGGCACUUGAAGCAUCCAAAGGAUUCGAGAGACGAUAAUGUUCCCUGUUUCAAAUCUUUUUGAGGUGCUCAGUUUUUCUGUCGACAAGGUGGUUGUGGCGUUUGAUUUAUAUGGUUAGGGUUUUCCAGAAUUGGGCUGACGGGAGAUCCGGGCACUCCAAAUAAGUGAGACAGGCAAGAGUAAGACAGCCAAAAAUAUCCUUUUUUGUACCUUUUUAUGUAUUAUUUUUAGUUCCCACUCACUUGAUAAUAAUGGAUUUAACUUUAUUUGUUAAUUUAAUUUUUUUAAUAGUGUCAUGAAGGAACCAACUUCGGGCGUACUACUGGUGGCCCGUUUAUUGCUACAAGCUAUGACUAUCAUGCUUCUCCUAAUGAAUUAACGCUAUUUAAAUAUCAACCAUUUACGUUUUCAUGAGUGUUUGUUGUUCUUAGCUAGCAUAUGUCUUUACUUUUGAGUUUCAAAGUGCUGUGAUAAAUUAAGCGAAUAGCCAGCCAUCAACUAACUACUACUUUCUUGGACAGUUAAUGAUGUUGUUGGAGAUGUGUAUUGUUUCAGUUAUGAUGAUUAAAUAAUGCAAUAUCAAAUCUAAUAAUUUUGAUAUGGUGUAAAAAGUUGAUAAAAAGGUUAGGGUUUAUGUUUUAGCUUUUCUUCUUCUUGGCUGUAGUCUCGAAGGGCCUAAGUUAUUGUUCUGCCUCAUCUCUCUUCUAAAUAUGUAUUUAAGUGCUGAAAACUAUUUGCCGCAUGUGAGCUACUUCCGUACCAGCUUGAAGGAUUGAAUUUCUUACGUUUCUCAUGGUCUAAAGUCUAAACAAACACAUGUGAUACUUGCAGACGAAAUGGGUCUUGGGAAACGAUACAAAGUAUUGCUUUUUUGGCAUCGUUGUCUAAAGAGAAUGUCUCCCCUCAUUUAGUAGCACCGCUUUCUACAUUAAGGAAUUGGGAACAUUAAUUUGCUAUAUGGGCUGCUAAUAUGAAUGUUUCGCAUCUUCUCCACACGAAGAAGAAACAACCUUCACUUUCAGACGUUAUUGCGGUAAUUAUAUUCCAGUUUUCUCUUCUUACUUCAUAUUGCAGUUUUAUUCGCUGUUAAAAAGUUGUGUUUUUCAAGCAAACAACAAAGAAAUAGGAUGUUUUGUUUACGGUGCUACAAUUUUGAAGAAUAUAACAACAGCUAUUUGAAGGUGAUGUGUGUUUUAUAUCCGUAUUUUUUAUUUUUAUUUUUUUGCCUAUGAAUAAAAAAUAAUCUGAUGUAUCAAGGAUUUGUGAUUUUUAAUGUGGAUUUUUUAUUAUAGUAGAUAUUGCAGUACUGACCAAAAGUACCGGUACCAAAAAUGCCAAAAAGUGGGUACGAAUCGGUACCGAAAAUAAUUUGGUACAGUACUGGUCUCAAGUACCAAAUGCCCAUCCUUACCUUCUAUAUAUUAGUAGGUUAUUUUUUUUGUAUUUUAAACGGGUCAAACAUAUUAUGUUUUAAAUGAUUUAACUAAAGAGAAUUGCUUUGAACAAAUCUAACUGGCUAGAUGAGUCAAGCUUGAUCAAACGGUUUGAAACUCAGCGGAAGUGUAUGUAAAUACACCAAAACCUAAAACGAAUCCUCAUUAAUGUUUAGAAUACAUUGUAAUAAUACAGAUUUUGUAUAACCAAAAAUGAUAAAUGAUGUGUUUGUGGUCCGACUACCCAACCCAUUUCAGCUCACACUAAUGAUUACCUGUGUUGACGCAUUGCCACCUCCACUAUAAAGUUUACAUAAUUUAUGUAUGAAUAGAGGCGUUCACACCUUAUUUUCAAAUUGUGAAACCAUCCAAGCCGUUUAUCAUGUCUAGCAACUGCAACAUCGUGUCCAGUAGCAUAUGCAACAAUGGCACAACAACGAGCAAAGCAGGUAGUCAUCCACUUUUUACAAGGAAUGUGGUUCUAUAUUACGCACCGGCUAGCUGAACAGGUCGAUAGGGUGCGCACCAGCUAGCUGGGGAGUUUGAUUGGCUUUUACCCUAUGUUCAGGAACCGCUUGAUCAUAUCCUGUUCAAGAUGGGUCUUUCUAAAAUCAAGAUUCAAGAGCUGAUCUCCAACUAAGAGAAUCAUCAAUGCAUUAAAAGAUUCGAGGGUCUUGCGUUUUCUAGAGCAUGGCGACUCCCAAUUGAAACAUCGGAUAUCCAUUCUCAACUGAAACAGGUGUGGAGAUUACUUCUAGCUGCUAUGAAGUUUUCAUUUGCUAAUGGCAUUGAAUUGCACGUGUUUUGUGAGCUGGAUAACUUGAAGAUAUUAUCUGUGAUGAUUUUGAACAUAGUGGUGAUCACAUUCAUGCUCUACGGUUAAUAAAGACCUGCACAAUCACAUUUUCUUCAGUCUCCUUGGUGACUGGGUUAGUAAUUUGAUCUCAACUGUUGCUCAAAAAUUGAUUUUGAAGUUUUGUAAUUUGAUAUUGAUAUGUUAAGAUAUGGAAAUGGAAAUGGCUGACAACGAUUCUAUCACUUGUAGCUACUUUCUUGAGUCUCCUUUUAACUAUAAUGUCC
Molecule: long non-coding RNA, 2668 nt
Filed under: Helianthus annuus (common sunflower)
Lineage: Eukaryota; Viridiplantae; Streptophyta; Magnoliopsida; Asterales; Asteraceae
Description: hypothetical non coding rna
Source: RNAcentral